CAGGCUUAACACAUGCAAGUCGAGGGGCAGCAUGGUCUUAGCUUGCUAAGGCCGAUGGCGACCGGCGCACGGGUGAGUAACGCGUAUCCAACCUGCCUUACACUCUUGGACAGCCUUCUGAAAGGGAGAUUAAUACAAGAUGUUAUCAUGAGUAAGCAUUUUCGCAUGAUUAAAGGUUUACCGGUGUAAGAUGGGGAUGCGUUCCAUUAGAUAGUAGGCGGGGUAACGGCCCACCUAGUCUUCGAUGGAUAGGGGUUCUGAGAGGAAGGUCCCCCACAUUGGAACUGAGACACGGUCCAAACUCCUACGGGAGGCAGCAGUGAGGAAUAUUGGUCAAUGGACGAGAGUCUGAACCAGCCAAGUAGCGUGAAGGAUGAAGGUUCUAUGGAUUGUAAACUUCUUUUAUACGGGAAUAAACGGAUCCACGUGUGGAUUUUUGCAUGUACCGUAUGAAUAAGGAUCGGUUAACUCCGUGCCAGCAGCCGCGGUAAUACGGAGGAUCCGAGCGUUAUCCGGAUUUAUUGGGUUUAAAGGGAGCGUAGAUGGGUUGUUAAGUCAGUUGUGAAAGUUUGCGGCUCAACCGUAAAAUUGCAAUUGAUACUGGCAGUCUUGAGUACAGUUGAGGUAGGCGGAAUUCGUGGUGUAGCGGUGAAAUGCUUAGAUAUCACGAAGAACUCCGAUUGCGAAGGCAGCUUACUAACCUGUAACUGACAUUGAUGCUCGAAAGUGUGGGUAUCAAACAGGAUUAGAUACCCUGGUAGUCCACACGGUAAACGAUGAAUACUCGCUGUAGGCGAUAUACAGUCUGCGGCCAAGCGAAAGCAUUAAGUAUUCCACCUGGGGAGUACGCCGGCAACGGUGAAACUCAAAGGAAUUGACGGGGGCCCGCACAAGCGGAGGAACAUGUGGUUUAAUUCGAUGAUACGCGAGGAACCUUACCCGGGCUUAAAUUGCAACCGAAUAUGGCGGAAACGCUAUAGCUAGCAAUAGCGGUUGUGAAGGUGCUGCAUGGUUGUCGUCAGCUCGUGCCGUGAGGUGUCGGCUUAAGUGCCAUAACGAGCGCAACCCUUGCCGAUAGUUACUAACAGGUCAUGCUGAGGACUCUGUCGGGACUGCCAUCGUAAGAUGUGAGGAAGGUGGGGAUGACGUCAAAUCAGCACGGCCCUUACGUCCGGGACUACACACGUGUUACAAUGGGGGGUACAGAGGGCUGCUACCACGCAAGUGGAUGCCAAUCCCAAAAACCUCUCUCAGUUCGGAUUGAAGUCUGCAACCCGACUUCAUGAAGCUGGAUUCGCUAGUAAUCGCGCAUCAGCCACGGCGCGGUGAAUACGUUCCCGGGCCUUGUACACACCGCCCGUCAAGCCAUGGGAGCCGGGGGUACCUGAAGUGCGUAACCGCAAGGAGCGCCCUAGGGUAAAACUGGUGACUGGGGCUA
This 1438-nucleotide ribosomal RNA is filed under the name uncultured organism. Its description in RNAcentral is "16S ribosomal RNA". It matches the Rfam family "Bacterial small subunit ribosomal RNA". The record is from RNAcentral.